Molecule: unclassified non-coding RNA, 201 nt
Filed under: uncultured Cortinarius
Lineage: Eukaryota; Fungi; Basidiomycota; Agaricomycetes; Agaricales; Cortinariaceae
Description: sequence contains ITS2
Source: RNAcentral
AUAUAAUCAACCUCUUCAGCUUUUGCUUGUUGAGUGUUGGAUGUGGGGGUAACUUUUUGCUGGCCUCUCUCUGAGGUCAGCUCCCCUGAAAUGUAUUAGCGGAAUAAUUUGUGGACCGUUCAUUGGUGUGAUAACUAUCUACGCUAUUGACGUGAAGCAAUUCUGCUUCUAACAGUCCAUUGACUUGGACAAAUUUCAUUA